UGGAACACACAAGGAAACAGUCUCUGCC
This 28-nucleotide non-coding RNA is filed under the name Homo sapiens (human). The record is from RNAcentral. Lineage: Eukaryota; Metazoa; Chordata; Mammalia; Primates; Hominidae.